This 253-nucleotide unclassified non-coding RNA is filed under the name uncultured Sneathiellales bacterium. RNAcentral describes it as "contains 16S-23S intergenic spacer region". It matches the Rfam family "Bacterial small subunit ribosomal RNA", at positions 524 to 776 of the family's 1533-position model. The record is from RNAcentral. Lineage: Bacteria; Pseudomonadati; Pseudomonadota; Alphaproteobacteria; Sneathiellales.
GACGGAGGGGGCUAGCGUUGUUCGGAAUUACUGGGCGUAAAGCGCGCGUAGGCGGCGAACCAAGUUGGGCGUGAAAGCCCGGGGCUCAACCCCGGAAUAGCGCUCAAAACUGGUUUGCUCGAGUCCGAGAGAGGUGAGUGGAAUUCCCAGUGUAGAGGUGAAAUUCGUAGAUAUUGGGAAGAACACCAGUGGCGAAGGCGGCUCACUGGCUCGGCACUGACGCUGAGGUGCGAAAGCGUGGGGAGCAAACAGG